Molecule: ribosomal RNA, 392 nt
Filed under: uncultured Chrysophyceae
Lineage: Eukaryota; Chrysophyceae
Description: partial small subunit ribosomal RNA
Rfam family: Eukaryotic small subunit ribosomal RNA
Source: RNAcentral
GCUUGUCUCAAGAUUAAGCCAUGCAUGUCUAAGUAUAAACAAAUCUAUACUGUGAAACUGCGAAUGGCUCAUUAUAUCAGUUAUAGUUUAUUUGAUGGUUCUUGCUACUUGGAUAACCGUAGUAAUUCUAGAGCUAAUACAUGCAUCAAACCCCGACUCACGAAGGGGUGUAUUUAUUAGAUGGAAACCAAUGCGGGGCAACCCGGAUUAUGGUGAUUCAUAAUAACUUUCAGAUCGAUCGCAAGAUCGAUGCAUCAUUCAAGUUUCUGCCCUAUCAACUGUCGACUGUGAUAUAGACGCUCACAGUGGUUUUGACGGGUAACGGGGAAUCAGGGUUCGAUUCCGGAGAGGGAGCCUUAAAAACGGCUACCACAUCCAAGGAAGGCAGCAGG